UGACCGCAACGAGUGGCUCGGACGGCAGGCGCGGGUGCUCGGUCGCGGGACCGAGUGGGGUCGGGCCGGGCUCCACGCUGAGCGCGGCCCGGAGCAGCGCGAGUCGCAGCCCGAGUCCGAGGCGGAGUCCCUACCCCUUGUACACGCUGUACGCGCAGCGGGACUACAGCCGGUCGGAGAGCUACGGGCGGUCGGGCCGGAGCCGCGGACACAGCCCCGCGUACGCGUGACCACCGACCUCGCACGAUGGAGUCUAACAGGACAGACUGACCGAUCGGUGUACGGAGCUGUCCCGCGCCACUCGUAGCGUUACGUCAAUGAUCUCACCGUCGCGUGUUGGUGCGUGAGCGGCACCAUCAACACCAGCGACGACAACAACGAAUACUCGAUAUCGUCGUAGGUUAACGAACAAUCGACGGAUCAGUGCCUACAAGCUAACGGAGGAGUUUUAGCUAACUUUUCUGGAACUUUGGGUGUACAGUGGAGAGUGUAUUCAGUGGACAUAUGUUGGGGUAACUGUUUGUUGUAAGCUUUUAUUUAACUGAGUUAAAACCACUUACAUAUUGGUGUAGGUCUAAUGACAGUGCAUCCGACGGCCAAACAUACACGUGAUAUUUGAUGUGUAUGAACUUGUGUUAUAUAGGGUGUUUUUAAAUUAAUUCAUUUACAGUUUGAGUCAUUUGA
Long non-coding RNA from Vanessa atalanta (red admiral), 684 nucleotides. RefSeq lists it as uncharacterized. Lineage: Eukaryota; Metazoa; Arthropoda; Insecta; Lepidoptera; Nymphalidae. The transcript has 3 exons. The record is from RefSeq and is a predicted model, not a curated record.